UUGGUGAGGUAAUGGCUCACCAAGGCGACGACGGGUAGCCGGCCUGAGAGGGCGACCGGCCACACUGGGACUGAGACACGGCCCAGACUCCUACGGGAGGCAGCAGUGGGGAAUAUUGCACAAUGGGCGAAAGCCUGAUGCAGCGACGCCGCGUGAGGGAUGACGGCCUUCGGGUUGUAAACCUCUUUCAGCAGGGAAGAAGCGAAAGUGACGGUACCUGCAGAAGAAGCGCCGGCUAACUACGUGCCAGCAGCCGCGGUAAUACGUAGGGCGCAAGCGUUGUCCGGAAUUAUUGGGCGUAAAGAGCUCGUAGGCGGUCUGUCGCGUCGGAUGUGAAAGCCCGGGGCUUAACCCCGGGUCUGCAUUCGAUACGGGCAGACUAGAGUGUGGUAGGGGAGAUCGGAAUUCCUGGUGUAGCGGUGAAAUGCGCAGAUAUCAGGAGGAACACCGGUGGCGAAGGCGGAUCUCUGGGCCAUUACUGACGCUGAGGAGCGAAAGCGUGGGGAGCGAACAGGAUUAGAUACCCUGGUAGUCCACGCCGUAAACGGUGGGAACUAGGUGUUGGCGACAUUCCACGUCGUCGGUGCCGCAGCUAACGCAUUAAGUUCCCCGCCUGGCGAGUACGG
This 626-nucleotide ribosomal RNA is filed under the name uncultured bacterium. Its description in RNAcentral is "bacterial SSU rRNA". It matches the Rfam family "Bacterial small subunit ribosomal RNA", at positions 249 to 885 of the family's 1533-position model. The record is from RNAcentral.